UACGUAGGGAGCAAGCGUUGUUCGGAAUUACUGGGCGUAAAGGGCUCGUAGGCGGCCAACUAAGUCAGACGUGAAAUCCCUCGGCUUAACCGGGGAACUGCGUCUGAUACUGGAUGGCUCGAGUUUGGGAGAGGGAUGCGGAAUUCCAGGUGUAGCGGUGAAAUGCGUAGAUAUCUGGAGGAACACCGGUGGCGAAGGCGGCAUCCUGGACCAACACUGACGCUGAUGAGCGAAAGCCAGGGGAGCAAACGGG
RNAcentral lists this ribosomal RNA (253 nucleotides) under uncultured bacterium. RNAcentral describes it as "partial 16S ribosomal RNA". It matches the Rfam family "Bacterial small subunit ribosomal RNA", at positions 524 to 776 of the family's 1533-position model. The record is from RNAcentral.